Molecule: ribosomal RNA, 371 nt
Filed under: uncultured organism
Description: partial 16S ribosomal RNA
Rfam family: Bacterial small subunit ribosomal RNA
Source: RNAcentral
GUAGGUGGCAAGCGUUGUCCGGAAUUAUUGGGCGUAAAGCGCGCGCAGGCGGUUCUUUAAGUCUGAUGUGAAAGCCCACGGCUCAACCGUGGAGGGUCAUUGGAAACUGGAGAACUUGAGUACAGAAGAGGAAAGCGGAAUUCCACGUGUAGCGGUGAAAUGCGUAGAGAUGUGGAGGAACACCAGUGGCGAAGGCGGCUCUCUGGUCUGUAACUGACGCUGAGGCGCGAAAGCGUGGGGGAGCAAACAGGAUUAGAUACCCUGGUAGUCCACGCCGUAAACGAUGAGUGCUAAGUGUUAGGGGGUUUCCGCCCCUUAGUGCUGCAGCUAACGCAUUAAGCACUCCGCCUGGGAGUACGGCCGCAAGGCUG